ACAGUAGUUUUCACAUUGGUU
This 21-nucleotide microRNA is filed under the name Gallus gallus (chicken). Its description in RNAcentral is "microRNA Ros-gga". Lineage: Eukaryota; Metazoa; Chordata; Aves; Galliformes; Phasianidae. The record is from RNAcentral.